Homo sapiens (human) is the source of this 1469-nucleotide long non-coding RNA. The record is from Ensembl. Lineage: Eukaryota; Metazoa; Chordata; Mammalia; Primates; Hominidae.
GAUUACAAACUUGCUGGAAAUGGAUGAGAAACCUUCUGCUCUGCUGGAGUUUAUCUUGAGUGUGCCUUAAAAUUCCAUUUCAUGGAGAACUGUGCGUGGUUGAAUUUUGAUUGAUUACUCAAUUAACUGAUGUAUUGGUAGAGUGAUUAAGAAAGAAGACUUUGGGAUCAGACCAACCUGGUUUUGAAUUCAAGCUCAGCAACUUACUAGGUAAGGAGGAGAAAAGAAAGAAGGAAAAAUUGGAAAGAUAAAUGGGGUCUUUCCAGUGAAGCCUCCAGGCCUCCAGACUGGAACUUAUACCACUGAUUCUUCUGAAUCUUAGGCCUUUGGACUUGGACUGGAACUAAACCAUCAGCUCUUCUUGUUCUACCACUUGCAGACUGUAUGUCUUGGGACAUGUCAGCCUCUGUAAUCACGCUCAAUUUUCCUACAUAAUUAAGAGUUUGGAAUUCGGGCAAUAUCAAGAACCACAUCUGUCCUGAAAUCAAUUAUCUCUGUUUGGAAUAUGGAUAUGAGAGAUCACUUUGCUGUGCUGUAAAUGAUCGAUUAAAAUACAUAUUUCUCUCCUGACCCUCUGGGCCUGCCUUUCCAUGCAGUACCCUUGUUCUCUGAGAGUGAGGAGGUCUGUGUUUUGAGCCUUCCUACAAAACACAAGAAAUAAGAAGACCAUUUUGAGAAGAACAGAGAGUAGCCUUAAGAAAAUCCCUGUCGCAAGCACUCUGGGAUUUGGACUCAAAUGCUAAUUAUACAACGUUGGUGGACCAGCCUUAAAACCAACAAUGAUUUGUAACAUUGAUUCUUUGGGAAAGGGCAUUCGGGAUCCCACAUCACCAUCUAACAAAUGAAUUUUUGUAAGAAAACCCAUUGAGACAAGAUCAUGUUCUGUUGCUCAGGCUGGAGUGCAGUAACACAAUCAUAGCUCACUAUAACCUCAAACUACUGGGAUCAGGAGAUCCCCCAACCUCAGCCUCCCGAGUAGCUUGGACUACAGGUGUGCACUGGCUAAUUUUUAAUGUUUAAAAAUUUGUUGUAGCAAUAGUGUCUUGGUAUGUUAUCCAGGAUAGUCUUGAACUCCUGGCCUCUAGGGGUCCAUCUGCCUCGGCUUUCCAAAGCUUUCGGAUUACAGAUGUGAGCCACCGCGACUGGGCUUAUUAUCCUUUUUAAAUAAACAUUUUUGAUGGUGAAAAUACAUGGAACAUAUGACCAAAUUCAAUAAUUACAAUGUAUAUAAUGUUACUGAAGGAUGGAUAUAACAGAAAGUUAAGACUUGAGGUCUGAUAUAAGACAGCCUGCCUGAGUUCAAGACCAAACUCUUCCUCAGAUGGGCUGUGAGACAGUGAUCAAGAUACUGACCUCUUUUAAAAUCUCUGCUUUUUCAUCUGUAAAAUGUAAAUUAAAAAUACCUUGUGCUAUAUGGUUGUUGGGACAAUUAAUAUGCUAAAAGAGCACAUGAGAAUACACACUGAUAU